RNAcentral lists this ribosomal RNA (353 nucleotides) under Hyla savignyi (Savingny's treefrog). RNAcentral's name for it is "partial 12S ribosomal RNA". It matches the Rfam family "Bacterial small subunit ribosomal RNA", at positions 867 to 1388 of the family's 1533-position model. The record is from RNAcentral. Lineage: Eukaryota; Metazoa; Chordata; Amphibia; Anura; Hylidae.
CAUCGCCAGGGAACUACGAGCCAAGCUUAAAACCCAAAGGACUUGACGGUACCCCACAUCCACCUAGAGGAGCCUGUCCUGUAAUCGAUAACCCCCGCUUAACCUCACCAUUUCUAGUUAAAUCAGCCUGUAUACCUCCGUCGUCAGCUUACCUCGUGAGCGAAAUUUAGUGAGCUUAAUGUCCCUACAUCAAUACGUCAGGUCAAGGUGCAGUAAAUGAAAUGGGAAGAGAUGGGCUACACUCUCUAAUCUAGAACAUACGAAAGACUAUAUGAAACCCUAGUCAGAAGGCGGAUUUAGCAGUAAAAAGGAACCAUAGUGUCCUUUUUAACCCGGCACUGGGGUGUGUACAC